AACGCGAAGAACCUUACCUGGGCUCGAAUGUAGACGGCGAUAACAGAGAUGUUAUUUCCGAAGGACGUCUAUAUAGGUGCUGCAUGGCUGUCGUCAGCUCGUGCCGUGAGGUGUUGGGUUAAGUCCCGCAACGAGCGCAACCCUUAUCAUUAGUUGCCAACACGUAAGGUGGGGACUCUAAUGAGACUGCCUAGGUUAACUAGGAGGAAGGCGAGGAUGACGUCAAGUCCGCAUGGCCUUUAUGUCCAGGGCUACACACGUGCUACAAUGGUCGGUACAGAGGGUAGCAAAUCCGCAAGGUAGAGCAAAUCCCAGAAAGCCGAUCUCAGUUCAGAUUGUGGUCUGCAACUCGACCACAUGAAGCUGGAAUUGCUAGUAAUGGCGCGUCAGCAACAGCGCCGUGAAUACGUUCCCGGGCCUUGUACACACCGCUAGUC
This 437-nucleotide ribosomal RNA is filed under the name uncultured bacterium. RNAcentral describes it as "bacterial SSU rRNA". It matches the Rfam family "Bacterial small subunit ribosomal RNA", at positions 958 to 1398 of the family's 1533-position model. The record is from RNAcentral.